RNAcentral lists this ribosomal RNA (24 nucleotides) under Fusarium thapsinum. Its description in RNAcentral is "partial 18S ribosomal RNA". Lineage: Eukaryota; Fungi; Ascomycota; Sordariomycetes; Hypocreales; Nectriaceae. The record is from RNAcentral. RNAcentral also lists the same sequence under 1 other name.
UUGGUGACCAGCGGAGGGUCAUUA